GCGCGCACAGUCUCGGGCCGAGCCGCGGUCCCGGCGUGGACGGGUCAGGGCAGACCCUAGUAGGCCCGGAGUUACAGCCGAAGGAGCUUUGGCUCCGCUGAGGGAGGCAGCAAGACCUGGGGCCUGGGAGGCGUCUGAGACCCAGCUCGUUGGCCCAGCCCGGAGCCGGGCAAGAGCCAGAGUGGGCCAGGCGGCGGAAGGCUGGAGUAGUACAAAUUCCGCCCGCCCCCUACCCCUCUUAACGGAGGUCUGAAGGCGGACUGGGACUAGCCCACGGUCGCACUGCUAGUUUACUGCCUUUGACACCGCUCAUCUUGGAGAAGCAAGCCACCUGCCAUGUUGUAACCAGCCCUUUGAGAGUCCCAGGUGAUGGCAAGAUUCCUGCCAGUAGCCAAUGAACAACUGAGGCAUUCUGACCAUGAUGUGAGUGAGCUUAUCUGAACCUGAAAACAAGAUAAAUGCUGAAGAAAAUUAAACAUUCAAGGCUCCGCUCCUCAAAAUGCCAAACUGACACUGAAAAACAUUUCUCCAGUCUUUGAACAGGUCCCUCCAUAGCCUCAAAGAUGGAGACUGAUUGGCAGAAGGACCAAGACUUGAGUAGAAGCCUGGAUCUUUGGCCUACCCUCCAACCUCCAGGGAAGGGAGAGGGCCUGAGGUUAAACAAUAAUUGAUCAUGCAAUGAAAACUCAUUGAUGUGCCAAGAUGGGUAACAUACCUCAACUCCACAGGGACAAAGGCUCCUGUGCUCUGGACCCUUCUGGACUUCACACUGUGUCAUUUACAUUGCUUAUAACAAACCAAUGCUAGUAAGUAAAUAGGUUUUCCUGAGUUCUGUGAGUCUUUCUAGUUCCUGAAGGUGAGGAGGAAAGUUGUGGAAACACCAUACUUUGUAGCCAAGUUGGACACGUUGGAGCUCAGGGUAGGCUGCCCCAAAAUAUGCGUCAAUGGCAUAUUGAUUAUUUGGAAUUGAAGUUGCUUGUGAAGCAGCUGAUACAAAAGGAAACUGACCUUAUGAGAGCAGAAAUUAAAUCCUUCAUGUGAAAGGUGUACCCCUGCCUCUGGAGGUAGAAGGACCCCCUUAGUAUUAGAGGUAGGGAAUUCAGGGCUGGACCAAGAAAUCUGUAUAAACAAACCUUGCUGCCACUUUACUAAUUUACUACCCAAGCCCAGACUUUGCUUAAAUUCCUUACUAAUUAAGCACCUAAACUGAAGUUUGUCAAGUCCUCUCAAAUUUAUUGUUUCUUUGUCUAAAAAGUGUAAAAACCACCUGCUUUGGCUAUUUCUUGGGUCCUAUUUCUGAGAGAUCUCUGUGUGCAUGAAUUAAAAUUUAUUUUUCGCCUGUUAAUUUGACUUGUGUCAAUUUUAUUAUUCAGUCAUAAGAAUUACAAGGGGUAGAGGGGUAAGUUUCCCCUUCCCCAAUAGCCACAAGUGUGGGUAACCUUGGGGACUCAUUACUUGCAACUAACAUCUAAAGAGAGGGCAGUCUUGUGGGAGUGACCCUUUAAUCCGCAGAGUCUGAUGCUAACUCUGGGUAAUUACUGUCCUAAUUAGAUGAAAUUAUAGAACAGGUGUCAGAAUUGGUUGAUUUCAGAAGAAAAUGCUCACACCAUCUCAUAGGCCAAAAAAUGAUACUGAAUUUUUUAAUUACUCUGGGCAAGUAUUUCUUUUUCAUGUGUAUAUUUUCCAAUAAAAUUUCCUUUUCAUGACCAUUGCCAGUUUUCCUCUGAGUUGUUUCUCUUUUUCCCACUGAUGGCUAAAAGCUUUUUUUUUUUUCUGAAUUUUUCAAAAUUAUUUUUUAUUUUUUAAAGUAUAGCUGAUUUAUCAUGUUGUACCAAUUUAAGAGCAUCUUAUAUAUUAAGUUUAUUAACUCUGUGUCUAUAUCGUGUGCUGGAAAUAUUUUUCCCCUGGUUUGUCGACCUUUAUUCUAAUUUAUGGUUUCAUUUUUGCUGUGCCAACAAUAUCUAAAAUUACAUAAUCAGAUAUAUAAAUCUUUUCCUUUAUGGCUCUUUGCUUUUCAUAUCAUACUUAGAAAGGUUAUAAACCCAUGCGCUAAGGUUAUUUAGAUAUUUAUGUUUUCUUCUAGUAUAUUUAUGACUUUCUAUUUUUAGGUAUCAGUUUUUAAAUCUUCCUGGCAUUCAUCUUGAUGUAUUUUGAGGUAGGAUUCAAGUUUUUUUAUUUAGCCAAAAUGGCUAGCUGUAUAUUGUAACACUUUUUAUGGAAUAAUCUGUUUCCCACUGAUUUUGAGCUACUUUUUGUCAUACACUGAAUUCUCCUAUUUUUUUCAGUUUAAUUCUGAACUCUAUUCCAUUCUAGUGAUUUCUUUUCCUAUACAGCUGUCACACUAUUUCUAAUUACCAUUGUUUAAUAAUGUGCUUUAUUAUCUGAUAGAGCUGUUCUCCAUUUAUUACUCUUCCUUUUCAGAAACUUCCUGUCUAUUCUUGCAGGUUUAUUCCUUCUGAGGAAUUUUGAUAUCACUUUUUAAAG
This is a long non-coding RNA of Sus scrofa (pig), 2484 nucleotides long. RefSeq lists it as uncharacterized. NCBI's taxonomy places the organism in Eukaryota, Metazoa, Chordata, Mammalia, Artiodactyla, Suidae. The record is from RefSeq and is a predicted model, not a curated record.